This is a non-coding RNA of Podarcis lilfordi (Lilford's wall lizard), 2101 nucleotides long. The record is from the annotation of a GenBank genome assembly. NCBI's taxonomy places the organism in Eukaryota, Metazoa, Chordata, Lepidosauria, Squamata, Lacertidae.
GGCAACAGUAUAGACAGUGCUAUUUUUCUAGGAGAAGAGAAGAGUUUGGAUUUGAUAUCCCGCUUUAUCACUACCCUUGGGAGUCUCAAAGCGGCUAACAUUCUCCUUUCCCUUCCUCCCCCACAACAAACACUCUGUGAGGUGAGUGGGGCUGAGAGACUUCAGAGAAGUGUGACUGGCCCAAGGUCACCCAGCAGCUGCAUGUGGAGGAGCAGGGAAGCGAACCUGGUUCAUCAGAUCACGAGUCUACCGCUCUUAACCACUACACCACACUGGCUCUCUAGGGGGAAAAGGCGCUGGAACUCACCAUGAAAAGCUUCCUUGUUCUCUUAGAAUGACAAUGGUGCCCACCUGAGAGGUGCUGGAACUGAGUUCUGGUGAGUUCUGGCUGGAAAAAAACAACAACAAAAGUUAUUAAAAUAUAAAGUACCCCUUAUUCCACAUCAUCGCUGUCAUUUGGGGAUAGUCUCCAGCUCAGUAGUAGCACAUAGCUUGCAUUCAGAAAAUCCCAGGUUCGUUCGCAAGAAUUGACAGGCAAGGCUGGAUUUGAGACCCUGGAGAGCCCCUGCCAGUCUGUGUAGACAAUACUGAGUUAGAUGGAUCGAUGCUCUGAUUCAGAGUAAGGCAACUCCCCAUGUUUCUAUUAAAGAAAUGUGGUUGUCUUCAGCAUUGAUCUGGUUGAACUCUCUUACUACUUACUGUAUACGCAUCCUGAUGUUCCUUUGGCAGUCCAAAAGGAUGUUCCUCCGUUUCCCCAAAGACUAAUGUCAAGGGGCAAGUGUACACGUGCUCUGCUUGCUGACCUCCUCGGUGACACAGUUUUUUAACUAUCAGGUAUUGAUUUACUCUGCUUUCUAAGGCACAGUUCCUGCAUUGCCUGCUACUGAAUAGCAAGUGCACCUGCACUAAAAUAUCUAGCCAAGGACUGUUUUGUUACAGAACUGGAAACUUGACAGUGGCGACUGGGAACAGUUAUCAUGGCCAUAUUUCGAUCGGGUGCAAAAGAAUCAGAAGAAGCAGCAGCAGAGGAUACAUAACAGUGCCAUAAAGCAUUAUGUGCCCUGAAACUAGUAGAAGGAAAUAUUGUUAAUCUAGCAAGAUGACAAGAUAAGUCCCAGGUCUUUAAGUGUUGUGCACCCUUGGAAAAUCUCUAUUUUAGGAUCCUUUUAUCUUGCUUUAAUUGUCCAUCAAUGUUUGUGUUUAGAUUUAUUAUGAAUAAAGCAUUGGCCCUUAAUCUAUGGGUUGCCGGACAUCGGUCUUGCACUUCUUGCAAUGGUAUAGCAAGAUAUCAAGCGGAACAAUAUUUCACGUUGAGCAUUUGAAAAAUGAAUCCAUCAGCCAAAACAGAGCUUAAGUACUUGAUUUGUAAAUUGCGUGGCAUGAUUUUAUCUCACAUACAAAUUAGGGACAUAUGCAGCAACAUCUAUCAAAGCUUUGCCUCAGAUUAUAGAAAAGAGACUAAUUACAAACUGUGAUAUUAUGAUGAAGUAUACGGAACGUCUCCAAGUUGCCAAUAGAUCUUACAAAUAUGCUUACCUAAACAUAUUACCUUCUGUUAGUAAUUACAAGAUGUAACUCUAUUUUGUUUUUGUCGUUUUCUGUUUUUGUAUUUUGGGUAUUGCUGGCAACCCUGAGAAGGAAGAGUGUUUGGAAGAACUGGACGGAAAAAAUGUUUUUAACUGCAGCUGCUUUUAGAUGUUCUUAAUUUAUAAUUGUUUUUAGAACGUUUUAAACUGUUUUAAAAUGCUUUGGUUUUUUGUAUUUAAUUUGCUUAUCUGUUUGCCACCUUAAGCUCCUUGGGGAAGAAAGGCAGGAUGGAGAAUCAAAAAAUAGUAGUCGUAAUAAUAAUAAUUUUAUUAUUCUUAUUAUUUAUAAGUUGCCAAUCUGGCUGGGUUUCCCCAGCCACUCUGGGUGGCUUCCAACAGAAUAUAAAAACAUAAUCAUGUAUGUUUUGCUGAGUGCUACCAACUGGUGUAUGAAGAAUGAUCACCUUCACAUGUUGUGCUAAAGUGGCGUUUGGGGUUUUCCUUUUAAGACCAUGAACUUUUCCUAACUAUGUUGAGGAGAGUGGAGAAAUGUUGACUUUAUAAGUGAACAUGGG